AACGAACGCUGGCGGCAUGCCUAACACAUGCAAGUCGAACGAGACCUUCGGGUCUAGUGGCGCACGGGUGCGUAACGCGUGGGAACCUGCCCUUAGGUUCGGAAUAACUCCCCGAAAGGGGUGCUAAUACCGGAUAAUGUCUUCGGACCAAAGAUUUAUCGCCUUUGGAUGGGCCCGCGUUGGAUUAGCUAGUUGUUAGGGUAAAAGCCUACCAAGGCGACGAUCCAUAGCUGGUCUGAGAGGAUCAUCAGCCACACUGGGACUGAGACACGGCCCAGACUCCUACGGGAUGCAGCAGUGGGGAAUCUUGGACUACGGGCGAAAUCCUGAUCCAGCAAUGCCGCGUGAGUGAUGAAGGCCUUAGGGUUGUACAGCUCUUUUACCCGGGAUGAUAAUGACAUUACCGGGAGAAUAAGCUCCGGCUAACUCCGUG
This 433-nucleotide ribosomal RNA is filed under the name uncultured bacterium. RNAcentral's name for it is "partial 16S ribosomal RNA". It matches the Rfam family "Bacterial small subunit ribosomal RNA", at positions 29 to 507 of the family's 1533-position model. The record is from RNAcentral.